RNAcentral lists this ribosomal RNA (1198 nucleotides) under seawater metagenome. Its description in RNAcentral is "bacterial LSU rRNA". It matches the Rfam family "Bacterial large subunit ribosomal RNA", at positions 1285 to 2468 of the family's 2925-position model. The record is from RNAcentral.
GAAGUGCGAAUGCUGACAUGAGUAACGAUAAGGGGAGUGAAAAACUCCCCCGCCGGAAAUCCAAGGUUUCCUGUCCCAUGCUAAUCAGGGCAGGGUGAGUCGGCCCCUAAGGCGAGGCAGAAAUGCGUAGUCGAUGGAAAACAGGUUAAUAUUCCUGUACUUGUUUAUGUUGCGAUGGAGGGACGGAGAAGGCUAAUCGAGCCAGGCGUUGGUUGUCCUGGUUUAAGGUGGUAGGCUGAGAUCUUAGGUAAAUCCGGGAUCUUAAGGCCGAGAGCCGAUGACGGUGACUCUACGGAGUCCGAAGUCGAUGAUGCCAUGCUUCCAAGAAAAUCUUCUAAGCUUCAGAUAUAAAGAAACCGUACCCCAAACCGACACAGGUGGAUAGGUAGAGAAUACUAAGGCGCUUGAGAGAACUCGGGUGAAGGAACUAGGCAAAAUGGUACCGUAACUUCGGGAGAAGGUACGCCAGUGACUGUGAUGAGACUUGCUCUCUAAGCGGUUAUUGGUCGAAGAUACUAGGUGGCUGCGACUGUUUAUUAAAAACACAGCACUCUGCAAACUCGUAAGAGGACGUAUAGGGUGUGACGCCUGCCCGGUGCUGGAAGGUUAAUUGAUGCGGUUAGCUUCGGCGAAGCUGUUGAUCGAAGCCCCAGUAAACGGCGGCCGUAACUAUAACGGUCCUAAGGUAGCGAAAUUCCUUGUCGGGUAAGUUCCGACCUGCACGAAUGGCGUAACGAUGGCCACACUGUCUCCACCCGAGACUCAGUGAAAUUGAAUUUGCGGUUAAGAUGCCGUAUACCCGCGGCUAGACGGAAAGACCCCGUGAACCUUUACUACAGCUUCACAGUGAACUUUGAAUUGGCUUGUGUAGGAUAGCUGGGAGGCUUUGAAGCGUGGACGCCAGUUCACGUGGAGCCAAGCUUGAAAUACCAGCCUGGUCAAUUUGGGGUUCUAACUCAGGUCCAUUAUCUGGAUCGAGGACACUGUGUGGUGGGUAGUUUGACUGGGGCGGUCUCCUCCCAAAGAGUAACGGAGGAGCACGAAGGUUAGCUAAGCAUGGUCGGACAUCAUGCGGUUAGUGCAAUGGCAUAAGCUAGCUUGACUGCGAGACAGACACGUCGAGCAGGUACGAAAGUAGGUCAUAGUGAUCCGGUGGUUCUGUAUGGAAGGGCCAUCGCUCAACGGAUAAAAGGUACUC